RNAcentral lists this ribosomal RNA (392 nucleotides) under Levilactobacillus brevis. RNAcentral's name for it is "bacterial SSU rRNA". It matches the Rfam family "Bacterial small subunit ribosomal RNA", at positions 396 to 780 of the family's 1533-position model. The record is from RNAcentral. Lineage: Bacteria; Bacillati; Bacillota; Bacilli; Lactobacillales; Lactobacillaceae.
GCCGCGUGAGUGAAGAAGGGUUUCGGCUCGUAAAACUCUGUUGUUAAAGAAGAACACCUUUGAGAGUAACUGUUCAAGGGUUGACGGUAUUUAACCAGAAAGCCACGGCUAACUACGUGCCAGCAGCCGCGGUAAUACGUAGGUGGCAAGCGUUGUCCGGAUUUAUUGGGCGUAAAGCGAGCGCAGGCGGUUUUUUAAGUCUGAUGUGAAAGCCUUCGGCUUAACCGGAGAAGUGCAUCGGAAACUGGGAGACUUGAGUGCAGAAGAGGACAGUGGAACUCCAUGUGUAGCGGUGGAAUGCGUAGAUAUAUGGAAGAACACCAGUGGCGAAGGCGGCUGUCUAGUCUGUAACUGACGCUGAGGCUCGAAAGCAUGGGUAGCGAACAGGAUUA